GACGAACGCUGGCGGCGUGCCUAAUACAUGCAAGUAGAACGCUGAAGAGAGGAGCUUACUCUUCUUGGAUGAGUUGCGAACGGGUGAGUAGCGCGUAGGUAACCUGCCUUGUAGCGGGGGAUAACUAUUGGAAACGAUAGCUAAUACCGCAUAACAAUGGAUGACACAUGUCAUUUAUUUGAAAGGGGCAAUUGCUCCACUACAAGAUGGACCUGCGUUGUAUUAGCUAGUAGGUGAGGUAAUGGCUCACCUAGGCGACGAUACAUAGCCGACCUGAGAGGGUGAUCGGCCACACUGGGACUGAGACACGGCCCAGACUCCUACGGGAGGCAGCAGUAGGGAAUCUUCGGCAAUGGGGGCAACCCUGACCGAGCAACGCCGCGUGAGUGAAGAAGGGUUUCGGAUCGUAAAGCUCGGUUGUAAGUCAAGAACGGGUGUGAGAGUGGAAAGUUCACACUGUGACGGUAGCUUACCAGAAAGGGACGGCUAACUACGUG
RNAcentral lists this ribosomal RNA (497 nucleotides) under uncultured bacterium. RNAcentral's name for it is "partial 16S ribosomal RNA". It matches the Rfam family "Bacterial small subunit ribosomal RNA", at positions 28 to 507 of the family's 1533-position model. The record is from RNAcentral.